This 512-nucleotide ribosomal RNA is filed under the name uncultured bacterium. RNAcentral's name for it is "partial 16S ribosomal RNA". It matches the Rfam family "Bacterial small subunit ribosomal RNA", at positions 28 to 507 of the family's 1533-position model. The record is from RNAcentral.
GAUGAACGCUGGCGGCGUGCCUAAUACAUGCAAGUCGAACGAAACUUCUUUAUCACCGAGUGAUUGCACUCACCGAUAAAGAGUUGAGUGGCGAACGGGUGAGUAACACGUGGGCAACCUGCCCAAAAGAGGGGGAUAACACUUGGAAACAGGUGCUAAUACCGCAUAACCAUAGUUACCGCAUGGUAACUAUGUAAAAGGUGGCUAUACUACCGCUUUUGGAUGGGCCCGCGGCGCAUUAGCUAGUUGGUAGGGUAAAGGCUUACCAAGGCAAUGAUGCGUAGCCGAAUUGAGAGGUUGAUCGGCCACAUUGGGACUGAGACACGGCCCAAACUCCUACGGGAGGCAGCAGUAGGGAAUCUUCCACAAUGGGCGAAAGCCUGAUGGAGCAACGCCGCGUGGGUGAAGAAGGUCUUCGGAUCGUAAAACCCUGUUGUUAGAGAAGAAAGUGCGUGAGAGUAACUGUUCACGUUUCGACGGUAUCUAACCGGAAAGCCACGGCUAACUACGUG